GUUUUAGUUUUAAGAGGUUAGUUAAGUUUUAAAUGUAUAUACUAUUUUUAAACUCAGAUCUCAACAUAGUCGUAUGUAAAUGUAUAAAAGGGAUAGGCAGUAGGUUUGAAAUUUUAAAACAAAUGAAAAAUAGAUAUAUAAAAAAGAAAGGAAAUAGUAUAAGGAAACUAUAUACUAAUUUUAGAAAAAUGUAAUACAUUACAGAGAACGACAUUUUUUUCGCAAUAAGGUGUUUUUGUUGUCAAAUAUGAAAUGUAGAGUCAGUAACAAAUUGCGCAAGAGGUAGUUAAAAUUUUAUUAAUGGAAUCUUAAAUGUUGUUAAUUUUUUGGUCUAUAUUUAACGUUAAGAUUAAUUAAUGAAGCAAACAAAAUAAAACUGUAAAAGUAUUACAAUUGGGAACAAAGUAAC
RNAcentral lists this long non-coding RNA (409 nucleotides) under Mytilus galloprovincialis (Mediterranean mussel). Lineage: Eukaryota; Metazoa; Mollusca; Bivalvia; Mytilida; Mytilidae. The record is from RNAcentral.